GCAGUCUUCUGUUAUUUGCAGCAUUCCUUAAUCCUAAAAUACGCCAACAAAAGCAGUCCAAAAACGGAUGCAGUCUGAUGCAACGCAUCAUAUUACCAUGUUUUGCACGUCUACACAUUACUUGAACAUAACAACAUCCUAAGUGAUGGCCAGCAAGGUUUUUGAAAUAGAAGGUCAUUCCUGACAAACCUUCUGGUAUUCUUUAUUAACCUCUCAUGAGGUUGUCUACUAAUAGCCUAUCAUUCAUGAGGAGAUAUCUCGCAUGCAUACAGAAAAAUAAAGGAACAACAAAGCCAGCCCCUGCAGGUGAGGCUAGCAUGUAUCUGCAUCUUUAAUACUCAUAGCUUGCUGGAGUGGAACCAAUUAACUUUUCCACUAGCUACAAUAUUUAUUGUGGCGGUCAGCUGGGAUGGGGGCUGGGCCGCAAAUGUGUCCCACCCCAAUGUCAAACACACUCCUACGCCCCUGCCGAGGACUGAGUCACCGUCCUGGUGUGCCUGGAUUUCAGUCAUCUGCUAAUGAUCUGCUGAGCUGUUAACUGGCGUUCUUGACAAAAUAUUUGCUGUCACAAUAUUUUCUCAGCCACAUGUGAUAUGGCGUAUGAGAACCAGAAGCGUCUCAUUCGCAGUCGCCAUAUGCAUGUUGGGAGGUCAUCUAAGUUUCCGGAGCCUUCUAGGAACCAACAGUUUGAUGUGGAAAGUUUUCCCUACGAGAAACUUGCAAAUCUUUCGCGGGCCCACAUUGCAGUGAGCAGCUCCUUCUUGAUCUGCUGAGUGAUGCUGAGAGCUCUUGAAUCAUAUGCCACCUGAUUAUCUGCCUGUGUCUGGAGGGGGACAGCUCCUAGGGGUUUGGUUUUCGCAGCCAGAUGUGGCAGACAUUUCCCCAGGUGAUUAGCCAUGCCUGUAAAGCUCCUGACCUCACUGAUGUUCCUUGGCUCCUGCAUGGCUGUCACUGUGAAACUAAUUAACUUUUCAUAGUACAUCAAGAGUGAUUUUAUUGCAUACAGGAGUAAUACAUAAUGCAUGAGUAUGAGCCAUUUCUGAUCACGGUAUCCCAACAAUAUGUUUAAUGGACAGAACAGAGAUGAAUGAACUGAUCCAAGGGAAUUUGAUGAACACCCAUACUGGGUGGGUAUGGAGAGAUUCUGUAGAUGCUACAGAGCAGUACUACAGCGCUGCAGUGCAAGCAGCCUGCUGCUUCUGUGAGUACAAGCUUCUUGGACAGAUUGAGUGUGUCAUCUGUUGUGAUGGCAAAUGUAUCAGAAUUUGUGGCCCUGAAGAUCCUCAUUAGCUUACUUAGCCUUUCAGUUUAAGUGAAGUGGUUCUGCAAACCGUGCUGCAAUGUCCAGCCCUCCUCUGGAAAUGGAAUGAAUGUUGUAUUACUCAGAGGGACACGGUUUACUCAGCCGCAUCUGGUUUAAUAGUUCCAGGUUUAAUAGUUGCUUUAGUGACCCGGGACCCACCUGCACCAAUUACAUCAAGACAUGCAUGGCUGUCAUUUUCAUGGUGUGCCCCAUUUGAGAUUUAGUGUAAUAGGCGUCUUUUACAGAAGACAGCUGUUUGAAUGUUUAUGAAUUUAAUGGUUUAAGACACUAAGCUAAAAAAUUUUGGCAGGAAGUCUACAUGUAGUUAGAAAUUCAGAUGUCAUGUCUUCGCUCUGGAUAAGAGCCAGUUGUAGAGCAGCACAGGAUGAGAUGACAAACAGGAUGGUCGAAUUCCGUUGAACAUGCACUGAAAAUUAUUGGGGAGAUCUAGUGGCACUGAUCAGUAUAGCAAGACGAAACCUGCAGCGGAUCUCCAGGAUUCGUCUUCUCUGGAUGAAAGGUGGCCAACCAAUCGGAGUUGGAUGCCGAGCUGAGACAGAACUGUGCAGUACAAUGCCAGUGAGUGGGUGAACCUGUAUGUUUGUGCAUGUCUUCAAGUAAUGUGACCGGACCCUCAGGACAUUUGUCCGGCCUAAUCCUGCCUCCAACUGAGACACUGCAGGGCAGAUUUGUGGAGUCAGCUGGAGAGGUCUGCCUGGCCCUCUUAAAAGGGAUCUGUUGCUCUGGCCUGACGCUGUGAUCUGGCCCCGCACAAUAUGGGAGCCACAAGUGAAUCUAUGGUGUCCCUUUCCCUGCAGCCAGCUGGCCAAAGGACCACACUCAGGCCAAGUUCCUACUUGACAUAUCACGUCACACAGCGUAUCUCGUUCUGCACCCCUAAAUCACAUUGCUGGUGGAUGAUUUUAUCCCAAGCUGAUUGGAGGUUGGAAGUUAUAGGCAUUACAUGGCUUUUGUUAUUGGCAGUUGAGAUGUUGAAUAAAGCAGUGCUGACUUGCUGGUCUCCCCUUUAUUUGUAUGGCUGUUAAGGUAGUGUUCUCUAACAAGAACAGAUUAUAUGAACUGUAAAAAUCACAACACAGUCCCUCGCUAUUGUUUCUAUGCACCAUCCACAGGUAGACAUACACUAUGCCUACUAUUAUGUGCAAUAGUAUAUUAUACAGCUUACAAGUGUACUCAAUAUGGUCUAUAGAAAACAAAUCUGCUAAAACACCACAAGUACACAAAAACUCAUGUCAAAUUAGCUGAAGGUUAAGUGCAUGAUGUAUAUACUAUUUAGAGCAUGAAAAGCACAGCAUUUUGUGGCCAACAAAUCAGGUAUUGUUUCAAUAACUAUGCAAAUAAUGUCCCAGCAUGCAUAGGGUCAUGUAUAAAAAUAUUGCUCUGGCCUAAUUGCCAAUAAUUAGGGCUAGCAUGGCUACAAGAGUUGAUUGCAGUGACUUUGAAAGAAGGGUGAGA
Anguilla anguilla (European eel) is the source of this 2779-nucleotide long non-coding RNA. RefSeq lists it as uncharacterized. NCBI's taxonomy places the organism in Eukaryota, Metazoa, Chordata, Actinopteri, Anguilliformes, Anguillidae. The record is from RefSeq and is a predicted model, not a curated record. The transcript has 3 exons.